Molecule: ribosomal RNA, 253 nt
Filed under: uncultured bacterium
Lineage: Bacteria
Description: partial 16S ribosomal RNA
Rfam family: Bacterial small subunit ribosomal RNA
Source: RNAcentral
UACGUAGGGUGCAAGCGUUGUCCGGAAUUAUUGGGCGUAAAGAGCUCGUAGGCGGUUUGUCGCGUCUGCUGUGAAAAUCCAGGGCUUAACCCUGGACCUGCAGUGGGUACGGGCAGACUGGAGUGCGGUAGGGGAGAUCGGAAUUCCUGGUGUAGCGGUGAAAUGCGUAGAUAUCGGGAGGAACACCAGUGGCGAAGGCGGUUGCCUGGAGCUUUGCUGACGCUGAGGCGCGAAAGCGUGGGGAGCGAUCCGG